RNAcentral lists this ribosomal RNA (483 nucleotides) under uncultured bacterium. Its description in RNAcentral is "partial 16S ribosomal RNA". It matches the Rfam family "Bacterial small subunit ribosomal RNA", at positions 28 to 523 of the family's 1533-position model. The record is from RNAcentral.
GACGAACGCUGGCGGCGCGCCUAAUACAUGCAAGUCGAGCGAACCACUUCGGUGGUGAGCGGCGAACGGGUGAGUAACACGUAGGUGAUCUGCCCAUCAGACGGGGACAACGAUUGGAAACGAUCGCUAAUACCGGAUAGGACGAAAGUUUAAAGGUGCUUCUGGCACCGCUGAUGGAUGAGCCUGCGGCGCAUUAGCUAGUUGGUAGGGUAAAGGCCUACCAAGGCGACGAUGCGUAGCCGACCUGAGAGGGUGAACGGCCACACUGGGACUGAGACACGGCCCAGACUCCUACGGGAGGCAGCAGUAGGGAAUCUUCGGCAAUGGGCGAAAGCCUGACCGAGCAACGCCGCGUGAAUGAUGAAGGCCUUCGGGUUGUAAAAUUCUGUUAUAAGGGAAGAACGACUUUAGUAGGAAAUGGCUAGAGUGUGACGGUACCUUAUGAGAAAGCCACGGCUAACUACGUGCCAGCCGCCGCAGUAA